GGAGGGGUCGAGCGUUAUUCGGAUUCACUGGGCGUAAAGGGAGCGUAGGCGGGGUCGUGGGUCUGCCGUGAAAUCCACCGGCUCAACCGGUGAACUGCGGUCGAAACUACGACUCUUGAGCUCGGUAGAGGAAGGCGGAAUUCCUGGUGUAGCGGUGGAAUGCGUAGAUAUCAGGAAGAACACCGGUAGCGAAGGCGGCCUUCUGGGCCGUAGCUGACGCUGAGGCUCGAAAGCCGGGGGAGCGAACAGGAUUAGAUACCCUGGUAGUCCCGGCCGUAAACGAUGGGUACUAGGUGUAGGGGGUACUGACCCCCCCUCUGUGCCCGCAGUUAACGCAUUAAGUACCCCGCCUGGGGAGUACGCGCGCAAGCGUG
This 374-nucleotide ribosomal RNA is filed under the name uncultured organism. Its description in RNAcentral is "partial 16S ribosomal RNA". It matches the Rfam family "Bacterial small subunit ribosomal RNA", at positions 527 to 896 of the family's 1533-position model. The record is from RNAcentral.